AUUGAACGCUGGCGGCAUGCCUUACACAUGCAAGUCGAACGGUAACAGGUCUUCGGAUGCUGACGAGUGGCGAACGGGUGAGUAAUACAUCGGAACGUGCCCGAUCGUGGGGGAUAACGAAGCGAAAGCUUUGCUAAUACCGCAUAAGAUCUAAGGAUGAAAGCAGGGGACCGCAAGGCCUUGCGCGAACGGAGCGGCCGAUGGCAGAUUAGGUAGUUGGUGGGAUAAAAGCUUACCAAGCCGACGAUCUGUAGCUGGUCUGAGAGGACGACCAGCCACACUGGGACUGAGACACGGCCCAGACUCCUACGGGAGGCAGCAGUGGGGAAUUUUGGACAAUGGGCGAAAGCCUGAUCCAGCCAUGCCGCGUGCAGGAUGAAGGCCU
This 385-nucleotide ribosomal RNA is filed under the name uncultured bacterium. RNAcentral's name for it is "bacterial SSU rRNA". It matches the Rfam family "Bacterial small subunit ribosomal RNA", at positions 30 to 417 of the family's 1533-position model. The record is from RNAcentral.